Molecule: ribosomal RNA, 274 nt
Filed under: uncultured bacterium
Lineage: Bacteria
Description: partial 16S ribosomal RNA
Rfam family: Bacterial small subunit ribosomal RNA
Source: RNAcentral
AUACGAAGGGGGCAAGCGUUGUUCAGAAUAACUGGGCGUAAAGCGCACGUAGGCGGAAUGUUAAGUUAGAGGUGAAAUCCCAGGGCUCAACCCUGGAACUGCCUUUAAUACUGGCAAUCUAGAGACCGAGAGAGGUGAGUGGAAUUCCGAGUGUAGAGGUGAAAUUCGUAGAUAUUCGGAGGAACACCAGUGGCGAAGGCGGCUCACUGGCUCGGUACUGACGCUGAGGUGCGAAAGCGUGGGGAGCAAACAGGAUUAGAUACCCUAGUAGUCC